GACGAACGCUGGCGGCGUGCUUAACACAUGCAAGUCGAACGGAAAGGCCCUGCUUUUGUGGGGUGCUCGAGUGGCGAACGGGUGAGUAACACGUGAGUAACCUGCCCUUGACUUUGGGAUAACUUCAGGAAACUGGGGCUAAUACCGGAUAGGAGCUCCUGCUGCAUGGUGGGGGUUGGAAAGUUUCGGCGGUUGGGGAUGGACUCGCGGCUUAUCAGCUUGUUGGUGGGGUAGUGGCUUACCAAGGCUUUGACGGGUAGCCGGCCUGAGAGGGUGACCGGCCACAUUGGGACUGCGAUACGGCCCAGACUCCUCCGGGAGGCAGCAGUGGGGAAUAUUGCACAAUGGGCGGAAGUCUGAUGCAGCAACGCCGCGUGCGGGAUGACGGCCUUCGGGUUGUAAACCGCUUUCGCCUGUGACGAAGCGUGAGUGACGGUAAUGGGUAAAGAAGCACCGGCUAACUACGUG
This 468-nucleotide ribosomal RNA is filed under the name uncultured bacterium. RNAcentral's name for it is "partial 16S ribosomal RNA". It matches the Rfam family "Bacterial small subunit ribosomal RNA", at positions 28 to 507 of the family's 1533-position model. The record is from RNAcentral.